GACGAACGCUGGCGGCAUGCCUAAUACAUGCAAGUCGAGCGAACAGAUGAAGUGCUUGCACUUCUGACGUUAGCGGCGAACGGGUGAGUAACACGUAAGGAAUCUACCUAUAAGCGGGGGAUAACAUUCGGAAACGGGUGCUAAUACCGCAUAAUAUCUUCUUCCGCAUGGAAGAAGAUUGAAAGACGGCUCUGCUGUCACUUAUAGAUGACCUUGCGGUGCAUUAGUUAGUUGGUGGGGUAACGGCCUACCAAGACGAUGAUGCAUAGCCGACCGGAGAGGGUUAUCGGCCACAUUGGGACUGAGACACGGCCCAAACUCCUACGGGAGGCAGCAGUAGGGAAUCUUCCGCAAUGGGCGAAAGCCUGACGGAGCAAUGCCGCGUGAGUGAAGAAGGCCUUCGGGUCGUAAAACUCUGUUAUAAGAGAAGAACAAAUUGUAGAGUAACUGCUACAGUCUUGACGGUAUCUUAUCAGAAAGCCACGGCUAACUACGUGCCAGCCGCCGCGGUAA
Molecule: ribosomal RNA, 513 nt
Filed under: uncultured bacterium
Lineage: Bacteria
Description: partial 16S ribosomal RNA
Rfam family: Bacterial small subunit ribosomal RNA
Source: RNAcentral